RNAcentral lists this ribosomal RNA (361 nucleotides) under uncultured Russula. RNAcentral describes it as "eukaryotic LSU rRNA". The stretch from base 21 to 174 matches the Rfam family "5.8S ribosomal RNA". Lineage: Eukaryota; Fungi; Basidiomycota; Agaricomycetes; Russulales; Russulaceae. The record is from RNAcentral.
CGAUGACACGCAAUCAAUACAACUUUCAACAACGGAUCUCUUGGCUCUCGCAUCGAUGAAGAACGCAGCGAAAUGCGAUACGUAAUGUGAAUUGCAGAAUUCAGUGAAUCAUCGAAUCUUUGAACGCACCUUGCGCCCCUUGGCAUUCCGAGGGGCACACCCGUUUGAGUGUCGUGAAAUUCUCAAAAACCCCUUCCUUUGGUGGAAAGGAUUUUUGGACUUGGAGGCCUUUUGCUGGUUUCACCUUGAAGCGAGCUCCUCCCAAAUGGAUCAGCGGGGUCUGCUUUGCCGAUCCCUGACGUGAUAAUACAUUUCUACGUCUUGGGUUUCUGCACUGUACCUCUGCUUCUAACCGUCUCAU